RNAcentral lists this transfer RNA (542 nucleotides) under uncultured Prochlorococcus sp. RNAcentral describes it as "16S-23S ribosomal RNA intergenic spacer". The stretch from base 212 to 284 matches the Rfam family "tRNA". The record is from RNAcentral. Lineage: Bacteria; Bacillati; Cyanobacteriota; Cyanophyceae; Synechococcales; Prochlorococcaceae.
CAGGGAGACAACAAAAUGUUUAAUAUUAUUAUUUUGUCACCUUAGGUCGAUCGGUAUCUCACGUUUUUAAUUUAUUAAGAAUUUCAUUUCCUAAGUUUUUCUAGGUCACACCCAUUAUUUUUCCUGGGCCAUUAGCUCAGGUGGUUAGAGCGCACCCCUGAUAAGGGUGAGGUCCCUGGUUCAAGUCCAGGAUGGCCCAUAUCUCUAUGUUGGGGGUAUAGCUCAGUUGGUAGAGCGCCUGCUUUGCAAGCAGGAUGUCAGCGGUUCGAGUCCGCUUACCUCCACUGAUUACCACCUCUUCCAUAACCGGUAGAAAGGAAAUGUUUUGAGUUGUGAUCAAAUUCUGAAAGAAUCUAGCUUCCUAAUGAAAUCAUUAAGAUGCUGGACUCAUUGAAUUAAUUUCUUUGUUUUCAGAGAACCUUGACAACUGCAUAGAUUAUUUUUAAAGACAAUAAGCAUCUUUAAUGAUGCAGAUUUAUUAUUUGUGCGAAUGCAUUAAUAACAAUUCUAUUAAGCUGAUGCUUCAAUUUUUGAAGUUAUUG